UACGUAGGGUGCAAGCGUUAAUCGGAAUUACUGGGCGUAAAGCGUGCGCAGGCGGUCUUGCAAGACAGAUGUGAAAUCCCCGGGCUCAACCUGGGAACUGCAUUUGUGACUGCAAGGCUGGAGUACGGUAGAGGGGGAUGGAAUUCCGCGUGUAGCAGUGAAAUGCGUAGAUAUGCGGAGGAACACCGAUGGCGAAGGCAAUCCCCUGGGCCUGCACUGACGCUCAUGCACGAAAGCGUGGGGAGCAAACAGG
This 253-nucleotide ribosomal RNA is filed under the name uncultured bacterium. RNAcentral's name for it is "partial 16S ribosomal RNA". It matches the Rfam family "Bacterial small subunit ribosomal RNA", at positions 524 to 776 of the family's 1533-position model. The record is from RNAcentral.